Molecule: ribosomal RNA, 433 nt
Filed under: uncultured bacterium
Lineage: Bacteria
Description: partial 16S ribosomal RNA
Rfam family: Bacterial small subunit ribosomal RNA
Source: RNAcentral
AACGAACGCUGGCGGCAUGCCUAACACAUGCAAGUCGAACGAGACCUUCGGGCCUAGUGGCGCACGGGGGCGUACCGCGUGGGAACCUGCCCGUAGGUUCGGAAUACCUCACUGAAAGGGGUGUUAAUACCGGAUAAUGUCUUAGGACCAAAGAUUUAUCGCCUUUGGAUGGGCCCGCGUUGGAUUAGCUAGUUGGUAGGGUAAAAGCCUACCAAGGCGACGAUCCAUAGCUGGUCUGAGAGGAUGAUCAGCCACACUGGGACUGAGACACGGCCCAGACUCCUACGCGAGGCAGCAGUGGGGAAUAUUAGACAAUGGGCGAAAACCUGAUCCAGCAGUGCCGCGUAAGUGGUGAAGGCCUUGGGAUUGUAAAGCUGUUUUACCCGAGAUGAUAAUGACAGUACCGGGAGAAUAAGCACCGGCUAACUCCGUG